This 253-nucleotide ribosomal RNA is filed under the name uncultured bacterium. RNAcentral describes it as "partial 16S ribosomal RNA". It matches the Rfam family "Bacterial small subunit ribosomal RNA", at positions 524 to 776 of the family's 1533-position model. The record is from RNAcentral.
UACGAGUGCUCCAAGCGUUAUCCGGAAUUAUUGGGCGUAAAGGGUGUGUAGGCGGUUAUGUUAGUCUUCUGUCAAAACCUUCGGCUUAACCGAAGAUCUGCAGAAGAAACGGCAUGACUCGAGGAUGCGAGAGGUGAAUGGAACUCAUGGAGUAGGGGUGAAAUCCGUUGAUAUCAUGGGGAACACCAAAUGCGAAGGCAAUUCACUGGCGCACUCCUGACGCUGAGACACGAAAGCGUAGGUAGCGAAUGGG